UACGGAGGGUGCUAGCGUUGUUCGGAAUCACUGGGCGUAAAGGGCGCGUAGGCGGCCCUGUAAGUCCGUUGUGAAAGUCGAAGGCUCAACCUUCGAAAGCCGAUGGAUACUGCAGGGCUAGAGUCCGGAAGAGGCGAGUGGAAUUCCUGGUGUAGCGGUGGAAUGCGCAGAUAUCAGGAGGAACACCAAUAGCGAAGGCAGCUCGCUGGGACGGUACUGACGCUAAGGCGCGAAAGCGUGGGGAGCGAACAGG
Molecule: ribosomal RNA, 253 nt
Filed under: uncultured bacterium
Lineage: Bacteria
Description: partial 16S ribosomal RNA
Rfam family: Bacterial small subunit ribosomal RNA
Source: RNAcentral